UUAAGCGACUAAGCGUACACGGUGGAUGCCCUGGCAGUCAGAGGCGAUGAAGGACGUGCUAAUCUGCGAUAAGCGUCGGUAAGGUGAUAUGAACCGUUAUAACCGGCGAUUUCCGAAUGGGGAAACCCAGUGUGUUUCGACACACUAUCAUUAACUGAAUCCAUAGGUUAAUGAGGCGAACCGGGGGAACUGAAACAUCUAAGUACCCCGAGGAAAAGAAAUCAACCGAGAUUCCCCCAGUAGCGGCGAGCGAACGGGGAGGAGCCCAGAGCCUGAAUCAGUGUGUGUGUUAGUGGAAGCGUCUGGAAAGGCGCGCGAUACAGGGUGACAGCCCCGUACACAAAAAUGCACAUACUGUGAGCUCGAUGAGUAGGGCGGGACACGUGGUAUCCUGUCUGAAUAUGGGGGGACCAUCCUCCAAGGCUAAAUACUCCUGACUGACCGAUAGUGAACCAGUACCGUGAGGGAAAGGCGAAAAGAACCCCGGCGAGGGGAGUGAAAAAGAACCUGAAACCGUGUACGUACAAGCAGUGGGAGCACGCUUAGGCGUGUGACUGCGUACCUUUUGUAUAAUGGGUCAGCGACUUAUAUUCUGUAGCAAGGUUAACCGAAUAGGGGAGCCGAAGGGAAACCGAGUCUUAACUGGGCGUUAAGUUGCAGGGUAUAGACCCGAAACCCGGUGAUCUAGCCAUGGGCAGGUUGAAGGUUGGGUAACACUAACUGGAGGACCGAACCGACUAAUGUUGAAAAAUUAGCGGAUGACUUGUGGCUGGGGGUGAAAGGCCAAUCAAACCGGGAGAUAGCUGGUUCUCCCCGAAAGCUAUUUAGGUAGCGCCUCGUGAAUUCAUCUCCGGGGGUAGAGCACUGUUUCGGCAAGGGGGUCAUCCCGACUUACCAACCCGAUGCAAACUGCGAAUACCGGAGAAUGUUAUCACGGGAGACACACGGCGGGUGCUAACGUCCGUCGUGAAGAGGGAAACAACCCAGACCGCCAGCUAAGGUCCCAAAGUCAUGGUUAAGUGGGAAACGAUGUGGGAAGGCCAAGACAGCCAGGAUGUUGGCUUAGAAGCAGCCAUCAUUUAAAGAAAGCGUAAUAGCUCACUGGUCGAGUCGGCCUGCGCGGAAGAUGUAACGGGGCUAAACCAUGCACCGAAGCUGCGGCAGCGACGCUUAUGCGUUGUUGGGUAGGGGAGCGUUCUGUAAGCCUGUGAAGGUGUACUGUGAGGUAUGCUGGAGGUAUCAGAAGUGCGAAUGCUGACAUAAGUAACGAUAAAGCGGGUGAAAAGCCCGCUCGCCGGAAGACCAAGGGUUCCUGUCCAACGUUAAUCGGGGCAGGGUGAGUCGACCCCUAAGGCGAGGCCGAAAGGCGUAGUCGAUGGGAAACAGGUUAAUAUUCCUGUACUUGGUGUUACUGCGAAGGGGGGACGGAGAAGGCUAUGUUGGCCGGGCGACGGUUGUCCCGGUUUAAGCGUGUAGGCUGGUUUUCCAGGCAAAUCCGGAAAAUCAAGGCUGAGGCGUGAUGACGAGGCACUACGGUGCUGAAGCAACAAAUGCCCUGCUUCCAGGAAAAGCCUCUAAGCAUCAGGUAACAUCAAAUCGUACCCCAAACCGACACAGGUGGUCAGGUAGAGAAUACCAAGGCGCUUGAGAGAACUCGGGUGAAGGAACUAGGCAAAAUGGUGCCGUAACUUCGGGAGAAGGCACGCUGAUAUGUAGGUGAAGUCCCUCGCGGAUGGAGCUGAAAUCAGUCGAAGAUACCAGCUGGCUGCAACUGUUUAUUAAAAACACAGCACUGUGCAAACACGAAAGUGGACGUAUACGGUGUGACGCCUGCCCGGUGCCGGAAGGUUAAUUGAUGGGGUCAGCGCAAGCGAAGCUCUUGAUCGAAGCCCCGGUAAACGGCGGCCGUAACUAUAACGGUCCUAAGGUAGCGAAAUUCCUUGUCGGGUAAGUUCCGACCUGCACGAAUGGCGUAAUGAUGGCCAGGCUGUCUCCACCCGAGACUCAGUGAAAUUGAACUCGCUGUGAAGAUGCAGUGUACCCGCGGCAAGACGGAAAGACCCCGUGAACCUUUACUAUAGCUUGACACUGAACAUUGAGCCUUGAUGUGUAGGAUAGGUGGGAGGCUUUGAAGUGUGGACGCCAGUCUGCAUGGAGCCGACCUUGAAAUACCACCCUUUAAUGUUUGAUGUUCUAACGUGGACCCGUAAUCCGGGUUGCGGACAGUGUCUGGUGGGUAGUUUGACUGGGGCGGUCUCCUCCUAAAGAGUAACGGAGGAGCACGAAGGUUGGCUAAUCCUGGUCGGACAUCAGGAGGUUAGUGCAAUGGCAUAAGCCAGCUUGACUGCGAGCGUGACGGCGCGAGCAGGUGCGAAAGCAGGUCAUAGUGAUCCGGUGGUUCUGAAUGGAAGGGCCAUCGCUCAACGGAUAAAAGGUACUCCGGGGAUAACAGGCUGAUACCGCCCAAGAGUUCAUAUCGACGGCGGUGUUUGGCACCUCGAUGUCGGCUCAUCACAUCCUGGGGCUGAAGUAGGUCCCAAGGGUAUGGCUGUUCGCCAUUUAAAGUGGUACGCGAGCUGGGUUUAGAACGUCGUGAGACAGUUCGGUCCCUAUCUGCCGUGGGCGCUGGAGAACUGAGGGGGGCUGCUCCUAGUACGAGAGGACCGGAGUGGACGCAUCACUGGUGUUCGGGUUGUCAUGCCAAUGGCACUGCCCGGUAGCUAAAUGCGGAAGAGAUAAGUGCUGAAAGCAUCUAAGCACGAAACUUGCCCCGAGAUGAGUUCUCCCUGACUCCUUGAGAGUCCUGAAGGAACGUUGAAGACGACGACGUUGAUAGGCCGGGUGUGUAAGCGCAGCGAUGCGUUGAGCUAACCGGUACUAAUGAACCGUGAGGCUUAACCUU
RNAcentral lists this ribosomal RNA (2902 nucleotides) under Escherichia coli. RNAcentral describes it as "bacterial LSU rRNA". It matches the Rfam family "Bacterial large subunit ribosomal RNA". Lineage: Bacteria; Pseudomonadati; Pseudomonadota; Gammaproteobacteria; Enterobacterales; Enterobacteriaceae. The record is from RNAcentral.